AAGUCGUAACAAGGUUUCCGUAGGUGAACCUGCGGAAGGAUCAUUAUUGAAUAUGCUUGAUGGGUUGUCGCUGGCCUUUCGGGGCAUGUGCACGCCUAUCUUGACUCUUAUUCAUCCACCUGUGCACCUCCUGUAGUUCUUUCUUGGUGGUUGGGGAACCGGUGACCCGACUUUGGGUUCCGUGGAACUGCCGUCAGGAUGGGUCUAUGUCUUUUUAUCAUAUACCAUGUAGCAUGUUGCCAGAAUGUAGUCAAUGGGCCUUCAUGUGCCUAUAAAAACCAUAUACAACUUUCAGCAACGGAUCUCUUGGCUCUC
This 315-nucleotide unclassified non-coding RNA is filed under the name air metagenome. RNAcentral describes it as "partial contains small subunit ribosomal RNA, internal transcribed spacer 1, and 5.8S ribosomal RNA". The stretch from base 1 to 46 matches the Rfam family "Eukaryotic small subunit ribosomal RNA", at positions 1786 to 1831 of the family's 1831-position model. The record is from RNAcentral.